This 24-nucleotide microRNA is filed under the name Amborella trichopoda. Its description in RNAcentral is "atr-miR8600". Lineage: Eukaryota; Viridiplantae; Streptophyta; Magnoliopsida; Amborellales; Amborellaceae. The record is from miRBase by way of RNAcentral.
AUCUCAUGUAGAUGACGUCACACC